Molecule: transfer RNA, 66 nt
Filed under: Rhombosepion elegans
Lineage: Eukaryota; Metazoa; Mollusca; Cephalopoda; Sepiida; Sepiidae
Description: tRNA-His
Source: RNAcentral
AUAAAGUUAGUUUAAGUUAAAAUGGUAGGUUGUGGUUCUAUAGUUAAAUAUAUUAUUUACUUUAUU